Long non-coding RNA from Esox lucius (northern pike), 9157 nucleotides. The record is from Ensembl. Lineage: Eukaryota; Metazoa; Chordata; Actinopteri; Esociformes; Esocidae.
AAAAUGUGUUGCAUCAUUAAUUGCAACUCUGACGGCAGAAGGGUGAAACUCGAGAAACACUUUGAAUUUAUUUAUAUUUAUCACAAUAUUAAAUCUUAUUUAUGUAUGUUUUCGUACAUUGUGAUGGCAAUUUCUAAAAUCCAACUAAUUCUAUGACAAUGGUAGGUAAGACAGGAGAAAUCAAUUGCGCAAUAAACGGUUUUAAUCUUGCUUGCAAGGAGAAAGUAUACAGGUUACAAAGUAACGGUGGAUAGUUUCUAAAUAAAAACAUCAUUUCGACAGUAUUUAUUACAUAGGAAAAAGGGGUGUGGUAAGAUGCUGCCAUCCGUUUCAUGUCAAUCAAACACCUUUCCCUUUGUUCUAUCACACACGUCAAAUGCUAUCUUCCCCCACCUUAUCCUUCCUGCCAUAAUGUUUACUGUAGUGUUUACCCAAAGGGGCCAACUGGCCUUACUGCCCCCUGUUGUAUCUUCUCCUAUCCUGUCCUAAAACCCAUUGAUCUCCAUCUGGACAGACAAUAGAUGCCCCCAAUGCAAAUACCAGGUCCCACACAUUCCUGUACCUAUCUUAACAGUGGGACUCAAUCCUUUACUCAGUGAGAAUACAUUGUAUAUAGAAAUUUCCACAACAACAUUCAGCUGUUGGACAAGUAAAAAAAGUCUGUCUUACUCGCCCAAAGGACAAAAUGUAUGUCCCCAGCUUUAUUAUGUCUCAUAUCGCUGGCUGGAAACCUCAAUCAAAAACCCACUGUCCCCUUUCAUGCAUGAGAAACAGUCAAAGUUUUCAUUUAUCACUUUAGACUUGACCUAUAAUGCAAUUCAUACAUGGGUGGGGUUAAUACUCAGGUUUGUAUACAUAGAAACUUAUAAAAUGGGUGCGGUUUAUACAUGGGGAAUUACAGUAAUAUUUUGCAGUGUGUCAUGUCAAUUCUCUGCAGUCCAGACCAAGCAAAAUCUCAUGGCCCAACCAUGUCUCUAAAAAAACUGUAACAUGCUUUGUUUGCACAUCAGUCCAUAUACCGUAGUGUCUGAUGUAUGACCACAUACCUACAACCACAUCCACAAUAGCACAUCCAAAGGAAAACAUAAAACAGGUAUCAGCAAACACACAAUUUCUGUACGAACAGAAGCAAAACAUAUCUCACGGCUGAACACUUACAACAUCCAGUAUCCUCCCUGAAAUUAUUGACUGAGAAACUACAUUCAGGAGACAUUUUUAAAGACCAUUCUACUCUAAAAUUAGCAUACAAAAAUCAAUAAAUCAAUCACAUUUAUUUAUAAAGCCCUUUUUACAACCGCAGUUGUCACAAAGUGCUUUACAGAGACACCCGGCCUUAAACCACAAGGAGCAAACAAGAGUAGUGUUGAAUUUCAGUGGCUAGGAAAAACUCCCUAAGAAGGUCGAAUUUUAGGAAGAAACCUAGAGAGGACCCAGGCUCAGAGGGGUGACCAGUCCUCUUCUGGCUGUGCCGGGUGAGAUAUUAAGAGUCCAAUUGGAAUAAUAAAUACAUUUCUCUGGGCUAAAUCCAGAGUCUAUUUGAUUUUAGACUAGGUCAGAAGUAUGACCAGCGGACAAGGACAGGUACAGCAACGGGCCCCCCAAACCAGGUAAUCUGCAGGUGUGGAUCAGGACCUCAUCUCCUCCUAAAAUAUAAAACUGGAGAAGACUGAGAAAAGUUAGUAGUGCAUUCCUCAUAUCCCCCAGCACAAUAAUAUAGCAGCGUAACACCUUGGAACUGAGAUGGGGGGGUCCGGUGAUACUGUGGCCCUACCCGGGGGAGGCCCCGGACAGGGCCCAACAGGCAGGAAAUCCAUCCACCCACAUAAAUAAUUCUGAAACCUUGAGGUUAUGCUACAAUCAUGUGAUUUUAUUUCCUAAUCCAGUAAUUAGCCUAAAAAGAUAUUGGCAAACAUGAUUUUAACCUAUUGGAUAAUACAUAUAGUGUUCUCUAAUAUCAACAAUUAUUAAGUGAGGGUUAUUAACUGAUGGUUUGUGUUGCCUUGAAUGUAGCCAACCCAUUCCCCAUUAUCGUUUGCACCUGUGUCUCGUUCAUUCCCUAUAUAAGUGCGCUUGGAUCCAUCCCUCCAUCCCGUAUGCAAUCAUUACAAUUUACUGUCAGGGUUCCCGUGGUGUCUUAAAAAAUCUUAAAACAUCAAAAAUUCUCCAUCCAUCCAUAUUCUUCCGCUUAUCCGGGGCCGGGUCGCGGGGGCAGAAGUCUAAGCAGAGAUGCUCAUACUUCCCUCUCCCUAGACACUUCCUCUUCCGGGGGGACACCGAGGCGUUCCCAGGCCAGCCGGGAGACAUAGUCCCUCCAGCGUGUCCUAGGUCUUCCCCGGGGUCUCACGAGGGACACAGUCGAAUGCCUUCUCCAAAUCCACAAAACACAUGUGGAUUGGUUGGGCAAACUCCCAUGAACCCUCCAGCACCCUGUAGAGGGUAUAGAGCUGGUCCAGUCUUCCACGGCCCGGACGAAAACCAUACUGUUCCUCCUGAAUCCGUGGUUCUACUAUCGGCCGUAUUCUCCUCUCCAGUACCCUGGCAUAGACUUUCCCGGGGAGGCUAAGAAGUGUGAUCCCCCUGUAGUUGUAACACACCCUCCGGUCCCCGUUCUUAAAAAGAGGGACCACCACCCCGGUCUGCCAUCCCAGAGGCACUGUCCCCGACCGCCAUGCGAUGCUGCAGAGGCGUGUCACCCAAGACAGCCCCACAGCAUCCAUAGACUUGAGGUACUCUGGGCGGAAUUCAUCCACCCCCAAUGCCUUGCCACCGAGGAGUUUCUUGACUACCUCAGUGAAUUCAGCCCGGGUGAUGGACGAGUCCACCUCUGAGCCCUCAGCCUCUGCUUCCUCAAUGGAAGACAUGACGGCGGGAUUGAAGUAUUCCUUCCACCGCCCGACAACAUCCCCAGUUGAGGUCAACAGCUGCCCACCUCCACUGUAAACAGCGUUGGUAGGGCACUGUUUCCCUCUCCUGAGGCGCCGGACGGUUUGCCAGAAUCUCUUCGAGGCCAUCCGAUAGUCCUUCUCCAUGGCCUCACCGAACUCCUCCCUGACCCGAACUCCUCAGCGAACUUGCCUCCACAACCACCCGGGCUGCAGUCCGCUUGGCCUGCCGGUACCCGUCAGCUGCCUCAGGAGUCCCACAAGCCAACCAUAGGACUCCUUCUUCAGCUUGACGGCAUCCCUUACUUCCGGUGUCCACCACCGGGUUCGGGGAUUGCCGCCUCAAUAGGCACCGGAGACCUUACAGCCACAGCUCCGAGCGGCCGCUUCGACAAUGGAGGUGUCUCCAGCCUCCAUCGGGAUCCAGUCGAAGCUCUGCCGGAGGUGGGAGUUAAAGAUCUCUCUGACAGGAGACUCGGCCAGACGUUCCCAGCAGACCCUUACAGUACGCUUGGGUCUGCCGAGUCUGUCCAGCUUCCUCCCCCGCCAUUGGAUCCAACUCACCACCAGGUGGUGAUCAGUUGACAGCUCCGCCCCUCUUUUCACCCAAGUGUCCAAGACAUACGGCCGCAGGUCAGAUGAAACGACAACAAAGUUGAUCAUCGACCUACGGCCUCGGGUGUCCUGGUGCCACAUGCACUGAUGGACACCCUUAUGCUUGAACAUGGUGUUCGUUAUGGACAAACUGUGACUAGCACAGAAGUCCAAUAACUGAACACCACUCGGGUUCAGAUCAGGGGGGCCGUUCCUCCCCAUCACGCACCUCCAGGUGUCACUGUCGUUGCCCACGUGGGCGUUGAAGUCCCCCAGUAGAACGAUAGAGAACCCAGUCGGAGCACUUUCCAGCACCCCUCCCAGAGACUCCAAGAAGGUCGGGUAUUGGGCACUGCCGUUCGGCCCGUAGGCACAAAUUACAGUGAGAGACAUAUCCCGACCCGUAGCCGCAGGGAAACGACCCUCUCGUUCUCCGGGGUAAACUCCAACACAUGGUGGCAGGGCUGGGGGGCUAUAAGCAAACCCACACCAGCCCGCCGCCUCUCACCAUGGGCAACUCCAGAGUGGUGAAGAGUCCAUCCUCUCUCAAGGAGUGUGGUUCCAGAGCCCAAGCCGUGCGUAGAGGUGAUCCCGACUAUCUCUAGUCGGAAUCUCUCAACUUUACGCACAAUCUCAGGCUCCUUCCCCGCCAGCGAGGUGACGUUCCACGUCCCUAGAACUAGUUUCCAUGUCCAGGGAUCGGAUUGUCGAGGCCCCCGCCUUCGAGUGCCGCCCGAUCCUCUACGCACCGACCCCUUAUGGUCCCUCCUGCAGGUGGUGAGCCCACGGGAAGGCGGCCCCACGUCGCUCCUUCGGGCUGAGCCCGGCCGGACCCCGUGGCUGCGCCAUACCGGGCGACAUCAUGGUCCUAAAAAUGGUUUCCAUCAUUAAAGGGUUUUUGAACCGCUAUUAGUCUGACCUGUUUGCCCUGGGAGACCCUACCAGGGGCAUAUAGCUCCUAGGGUCACUCGGGUACUCAAACCCCUCCACCACGUUAAGGUGGCAGUUCAUGGAGAGGCGUAAAAAAUUCUGAAAUUUAAAUGUAAGGCCUUAAAAAGUCUUAAAAACGGCCAGAUUUUCAUCUGAGAUCUUAAAUUUAAUUUAGUCAUUUCUACAAAAGUUUUACACUCAUUCAUUUCCAGAAACAGAAAGAAAAAAUAUUGAGUCGUAGCCUACAAAGCGAAGCACAGGCCGUCUAUAUCAGCAGUGAUUGUGAGUGCAUGUUUGGAGAAUAGCGCAGACACACGCUUCACACCGCGAGCGGGCACGCGCGCCACCUGGUGGAAAGGAGAGAAAGAAAAAGGAGACGCUUUCUCAAGUAUCCGUUGUAGUUCUUUCUGGUUGGUACGUACACGGUGAUAAAACUACAAAUCCCGUGAUAAAUGCAAUACUUGCCCAUGAAAUACAUCUGUGUGUCUCCUCAGAGCAGUGUUGCCAACUUAGUGACUUUUCAGACCCCCUUAGCGACUUUUUUUCAAAAAAGUGACUAGCGACAGCGACUUUUUGUGGUGUUAUUGGAGACUUGUUCUUACACUUUUCAACGAGCAGCGGGUGCCGCCGUGGGCCCUUCCCCCAUCUGAAUGCACUCACAGGCGGCCCAGUUCUCGCACAGCAGCUGCAGUCAGAGCAGGAGAUGUUAACUCUUCCGCGUCCAGACUAAAAAUGAAUCGUGCAUUGUGCUCUGCCAGUGUCUCUUUUGGGUAACUUUUGCCGGUCCCAAGCCCCGAUAAAGGAGGAGGGUUGGUAAAAAAAUUAAAAAGAAUCGACAGAAGUUAAUUUAUAGUUCUAAACAUAUUUAGGGUGUUUUUACUAACUUUUUGUCUCUCCUAUGACGUUAUUCCUCUCUUACUGGCAGCGUCCAUCACGUGCAGUUGGUGCAGUUCUCUUAAUCCAUGACGAUAUCUCCCCUUGUGCGUCGCUCUAAAUGUAAAAAAAAAUUCUAGCCUUUUGAUUUGUUCUUUGUUUUUUUGCUCAGGUGAUUAUUUGGAAAUACACAUGUCAGUCUUCUUACCCCAACAAGAGUUUUGUAUGUUAAAAAAGAAAAUCCAUUAAUGAUGCUGAUGGGAAAUUAUGCAAAUUAGGCGAUGAUGACAUUUAGCGACUUUUAGGACAGCCAAUAGCGACUUUCCUUACUGAGGAGUUGGCAACACUGCCUCAGAGUUUGUUAAAGUUCGACUAGGCCUAUGUGUGGAAAACAUGGUGGAAAAUGGGAAAGUGUACUUUUAACGAGGCAUGGCCAGAUCACAGCGAUUUCCGCUGUUGGUUACAAGCGGUACCCAGCUCCAGGUACGAGGCUCGCUGCAAACAUUGUAAAAAGACUAUUCAAUUUGGGACUCUGGGUGUGAAGGCCCUGGAGUCACAGAGCCUAGAAGCACAAGCUAGCCGCAAAAUGCCUUCAGUAGACUUUGCCGAUUAGCCAGUUUAGUGCCUCACCCCUGCCGUCGUCCUCCUCAAUGCCUGGUCCCUCCGGUCUCCAGCAGCGCAAUAUCAUUGCAGCUCUGUCGAAUGACCUUCAGGGUACUUUUGGAUCGACUGACACAUCGAAAUCCGAGGUGCUUUGGAUACUGCACACGGUGGCUAAACAUCACUCAUUUAAUAGCAACGGUGAGAUUAACGAUCUCUUCCAAGUGAUGUUCCCUGAUUCAGUAAUCGCCAAGACGUUCUUUUGCGGGCCCAACAAGAUGGCUUAUGUGGCGAGAUUUGGAUUGGGGGAGUUUAUAAAAAGGGAAUUGAUUCAUACUCUUACCGGGCCAUAUGUUGUAAUGUUCGACAAAAGUCUAAAUCAGACCACCAUGACCAAGCAGCUUGACAUCCACGUUCGUUUCUGGAACAAUGGAAUUGUUAAAAUGAGGUACCUGGGCUCACAGUUCAUGGGACAGCACAGGACCUACUGAAACAUGUCAAAGAGUCUUUGAACCAAUUGUAGCACAGCAGGUUGAUGUCAGUCUCCAUGGAUGGGCCUAAUGUGAACUUCAAGUUUUUAGAGCUCCUCCAGCUUGACCAUGCGGAGAACUAUGGGGGUGCACAGGGCUGGCUUUUCGGUGUGGCAUGUGGACAAGAUAUUAAAGGCAAUGCACACAUUAUUCCACCAUGUUCCAGCAAGGAGGGAUGACUACGUAAGAGUCACCAAAUCCACAGUGUUCCCUCAGCCAUUCUGCGGCCAUCAGUGGCUGGAAAAUCUUCCAGUUGUUGAGAGGGCUCUGGCGGUUUGGCCAUCUCUCAAGCUAUACCUGGAUGCUGUGCACAGAAAAGAGCUGCCAAUCCCCUAGACGGCAUCAUUUGACACCAUUGAAGCAGCCCACAACGAUCCUUUAACAAUAACGAAGAUGCACUUCUUCAUGACAGUGGCCAGGACCUUUGAACCAUUCAUGAAGAAGUACCAAACAGAUGAACCUGUGAUGCCUUUCUUUGGCAAUGACUUGGCUGAGUUGGUUAAGAGUCUACUGAGGCGCUUUGUUAAAAGAGAGGUCCUGCAAGACAUCACUGCCCUUCAGCUUACCACACUGGACCUGUCUGACAAGAACAUGCUCCUCCUCCCACAGAGGGUUGACAUUGGCUUGGGUGCUGAGGCAGCUCUCAAGGGCAUACCAUUGUCAAACAGUUUGAGUCUUUCCUGUCCGUUGAGGCAAGGAACGAAGAACUUCUCACCUUCCAGCCAUUUGAGAACCGACUAGACACCUUCCUGCAUGAGAGGUUAAGCCAUCGCUAUCCUGCUGCUUGGGAUUUUUGCAUGGGCAGGCAUCCGUUGAAAGGGGAUUUUCGGUCAACAAGGAGGUGGAGAUUGAAAAUAUGCAUGAGGAGACCACUGUCUCACCGGUGUGACAAAGGUUCCCUCUUACCAGAGAGCUCCUAACAUGUGUGGGUGCAGCCCAGUCAAGGUACUGCAUCUUUCCUGAUCAGGAGCGUACCAGGAAAGAAUUGGAAAUGCAGAGCCAGAAGAGAAAGUUGGCAGAGGAUGGUUUAGAGCAACUAAAAAGAGGAAGACCAGUUAAAAGAGGUGUCCAACUGUCUUGUUAGGGAGGCAGACAUGCUUGCCGAGGAAGCUGAGGGAAAAGCUGGUUCAAAGAGCUCCUAUCCAAGUCAAAUGCCCUUAGAAGGGCAUACAAAGACAAAAUGGCUGAACUCAAAAACAUUGAGGCUGAGAUUGGUGCUAAAGGGGAGGAAUUUAGGCAUAUGUAAUCUCUCUCACUCACUCACACUCUCUCUCUCUCACACACACACACACACAUCAGAUCAUCCAUGUUAUGCUGCGUUCCAGGCACAGAAAGUUACGACUUACUGUGCCUGAAGCCGUAAGUUACAACUUCAAGUCACGACUUGGUAGCGUUCCAGGCAAAGUGGCUAGCGUUGACGUUAGCUAGCGCUAGCUGAAACUAGCGAUUUCUAGUCGGCGACAUAUUUUGGGCUUCAUUUAAUAAACAUAACCUGUAGUAGUACACAAAUUUAUGUGUAUUAAUUCCAAUGUGUGGAAUUAACUUUACGUUGCCUAUUUAUGUAUAUUUAUUUCUAUUUCUCACGGUGUCUGUACAGCAUCAACAGGGGUCGCCAUUGUUGUUUAUGUGUGUGUGACGUCAAAACUUUAACUGGGAGUACAACGAUCUGGUACGCGUUCACGAGUAGUAAGUUAAGGGUUAUGGUGUUUUUUAAUGUAAAUAAAUAUGAGAGUGCAAGUAAACUCUAUUUGAGUGCAAGUUUGUUUUAGCCCAUUUUCAUUUUGGGCUUGAAGGUUUUGGGUAUUUGGCACGUUGUUGGUUAUGAAAGGUUACUAAUGUGAUUGCUUCUGUAACUUUAAUUAAUGCUUUUUCAAUGAAUUCAUUGAAAUAAAAGGAUUUCUUUAGAAUUUCUUUGAUUUGAAUAUUUGUUUGGUAGGUCUUAAAUUUCAAACUUUAUGAUCUUAAAAUGUCUUAAAAAGGUCUUAAAUUUGACUUACUAAAACCUGCAAUUACCCUGUACUGUGAGUAGCGUAAUGACUUCCCUGAAAAAGAAAUCCAUAAUGCCACAUCCAAUUUAAUGGAACACAUGGAAACGGGGGGAAAACGUCAUUGAACAAUGUGAGCACCACUACCCUACAAUUCAUUGGUUAAAUCACUGUGCAUGUCUGUUAACACUAUAAUAAUAGAAGCUGAACCCAUUUGUUUUGUCGUAAUUAUCAACAAUUGUUAUAUAAAGUUCCAAGAGAAUUACAAUCAACAUAUGCUAAUCUGUUAACAGCAACAAAUACAUCUUACAGAACUAUAUAACAGUAACAGAACUUUAACCUGUUUGUGCACUGUACAGAUACUAGCGCCUGGUGUGUGGUGUUUCUGUAUGACAGUGUCCAUGAUAGCACUUUAGGGUGUGUUGCAUUAUUAUUUAUUUAAAGGAAUUCACAUUCAAUCAUUCAAACACAAGAAAAAGGGGACAUUUCAUUACAGACUGUCCAUUGAACAUUUAACUAAAACAUCCUACUACCCUUCAGUUAUCUGUUCAAUCACCUUGAUUGUCAAGUGCUUCAUAGAAUCAGCUGUUGACAUUAAGCAUGUGAAACUUUUGUAUUUUACAGACCAAGGGAAUACUUUAAUAUUUUUUUUUUUUACACCAUAGUGGCUAAUGUUAAUCUAUUUAAUGAAAAAUAGUUCUAAGCCACAUGAUAAAUGUGUGCUAGAAUGUAAUAAUGCCCCCAUUAUCAUACUAUAUUUCAG